Molecule: long non-coding RNA, 1295 nt
Filed under: Nicotiana benthamiana
Lineage: Eukaryota; Viridiplantae; Streptophyta; Magnoliopsida; Solanales; Solanaceae
Description: long non-coding RNA (NBEN_LNC020252)
Source: RNAcentral
GAACCCUUAGGGAACUUUGUCGUACCCAAUCCUUGGUAAUGACUGUGAAACUCGAAAGAAGUGAGGUGGGAGAUUUUUGUCCUGGAUGAAGGCUCCUUAUUAAAUAACUUCUUAUUUUUCAUUUAUGACUGUUGUAAUUUAAUGUAUCUGGGCAGUAAUAAUUUGUAAGAAUAUUGGGGCAUAUAGUGAAUAUGGGGGGUUAUGCAUGUUUAAUUAAGUGAAUGGGUAGAAAACAUGCCUAUAGGACUUAUUUAUUUAUUUGUGCAAUAGCUACCAUGCCUUAGGACAUGCAUCCUCACAUAUAGAAACCAUGUUCUUAGGCCUUUUACUUUUAGUUGCAAUUCUGUACAUUCUUGUACCCAUGACUAAUUAAUAAGCAACAAGUCAUUUAGAUAUCAUGUUCAUAGGACCUCUGUGCAUUAGAGACAAUGCCUUUAGGACCUUUUAUCUGAGAUGCUUUAAGUAUUUCGUUAAUUUGGGUAAAAAAUUGGUUAACGACCCUCUGUUUAAAACUGGAAGCAAAUGUGCAUGUUCCCCGCUUGUUAAUAACACCUAGGCAAGCCUUAGGCAGGAUAAAAUGGGGUAAUCACCUCUAUGUCACGUUCGAAUUAAUCCGCCUUUACCUGAACUCGCUUGUUUCAAAAACUGUCUCAUCUUUUUUAUAAAUUUCUGCCCUGUUUUCCUUAAAAUUACUUAUACAAAUACUUCUACUUUUUCCAGAAAUGGAUUGUUAUUUUCAAAACCAUAUAUACUAAUAUUGUAUUUUCUCGUCCAGCACUGGGCUACUGCUAUUUUCAAGCUAUCUGAAUACUGACAGUUUAUAGAGGUUCAGAACCUGGCAUGUUUUCUUUAUACUUCUGCAAUCUUUCAAAUACUCUCAUAUUUGUUCUCCUAGUCUGCUUUUCUGAAACUGUAUUCUACAAAUAUUUUAAACCCUUCUGUAGGUAUUCUAAAAAAACUGAUAUUGUCUCUCUUAAGUGCUGAAUGUCUUCUCUUGCAUUCCUUUUCUGCAAACUCUCCAUUUCUAUUUUAACUUAUGCUCUAGUUUUUCGAAAGAUUCUUCCUUCCUUAGACCUUAUUUAUGUUUGACUCGUGCCAAUUACGUGUCCGUUAUAGAGGGAUAAUUGAGCCUUUAUAUGUUUACAUGAUUCCUUUAUAUGCAAGUCCGAUUUGUUUUGUAUGUCGCCUAGAAUUUUAACCUUUGAACCUAGGGGUUUAGCCUAGUUCCUACCUUAUAGGAAUAGUGAUCCUAAGUGCCAUCUAGGAUCUAUAGAAUAGGACGGGUAACAGCACGC